AUUGAACGCUGGCGGCAGGCUUAACACAUGCAAGUCGAGCGAGCGGCGGACGGGUGAGUAAUGUAUGGGGAUCUGCCUGAUAGAGGGGGAUAACUACUGGAAACGGUAGCUAAUACCGCAUACCAUCGGAUGUACCCAUAUGGGAUUAGCUAGUAGGUGGGGUAAAGGCUCACCUAGGCGACGAUCUCUAGCUGGUCUGAGAGGAUGACCAGCCACACUGGAAUUGAGACACGGCCCAGACUCCUACGGGAGGCAGCAGUGGGGAAUAUUGCACAAUGGGCGCAAGCCUGAUGCAGCCAUGCCGCGUGUAUGAAGAAGGCCUUAGGGUUGUAAAGUACUUUCAGCGGGGAGGCGUUACCCGCAGAAGAAGCACCGGCUAACUCCGUGCCAGCAGCCGCGGUAAUAC
RNAcentral lists this ribosomal RNA (406 nucleotides) under uncultured bacterium. RNAcentral describes it as "partial 16S ribosomal RNA". It matches the Rfam family "Bacterial small subunit ribosomal RNA", at positions 30 to 526 of the family's 1533-position model. The record is from RNAcentral.